AUCAAAUAUAACAAGGAGACUCCUUGUGUGGAAAAUUAAACAUACAUAGCAUUGCGAAUCAGAAUCAGGGCCUCUUACUCAAGAGUAGCUUGAGACCAAUCUACCUUAACAGGCACCUGGACACCAAUAUUGGUAAGAGAGUCGGGGGGGGGGGGACGACAACGCCCAGGCCCCAAGUCACGCUCCAGAAUGGGGCACCUCCCGCCCCCCGAGAUACCUGCUCGCACACCCGCGCCCAGGCCCAGUCACGUCCUACCACGAGGGCUCUACCUAGAGUGCCGAGGACCGGAGGCCACGGCCGGGCCGGCGGGCGGGCCGGCCGGGGCCGCAACUACGACUCGCACUCAAGGGCUCCACAGCCGCCCAGACCCGGGCCAGCCUGGACCACACAACUCCACCAGACGCAGACCGGCCGCCCGGCCGCACGCGCUCUUCCGCGACCCCUCUGACCGGGGCCGGAAAGGGCCCCGCGGGCCACGACGCCAUUUUCUCGGCGCGGUAACGCCACUCGCAGGAAUUGGGCUGCGGCCAUGGCGCCGCUCCGCCAGGCCCCGACUCCGAGCGCCGUCCGGGUCCACACGGCUCCCGCCCUCCUGCGCUGCACAGGGCCACUUACCGCGGCCGCCGGGGCCCCGCGGCCAUCUCCAGAGCCGCCACGGAACUAGCGCGGAGGCCAGCGAGACCGCCGGCCUAGAGCGGCGGGCCGCACAGCAAGCGGAAGAAAUCAAGCGGCCACCGAGACGCGGCGAGGCUAGAGCGGCUCUGCCGUCCUGGCCGCACGCAUGCGCCAGCGCGGCCACCUGGGUUUCCCGGAGCGCCCGCCAGACACUUCAGGAAACCGGAGAUCGGUCGCGCUACUCCCUUGCAGCACCAUGAACACUAGCCUCUUACCCUGAGAGCAGUUAACACCAGGGUUGAGCGCUCAGUUUUGCUCACACAGCCAGCUUCUAAUUUACGUAUGCACGUAGACACAUCGCUUGGAAGCCAGAGUCUCCUGGUUCUAAUUUCAGCCUCUUCGAAAAACAAAGAUGUGGCCUUCACUCACACUGUGGAGAACUCUAGAGCUAUGUCCAGAAGCCCGGCCUUAGUUAAGUAGGCUUGCUUUCAGUAUUUCCCAAGGUUACAAACCAACUCCUAGGGAUCUCUCCUUGGUGAGAUCCUUCUGACCUUUCUGACUCUUGACAACAAGUCUACUCUGAGCCGGGCGUUGGUGGCACACGCCUUUAAUCCCAGUACUCCUGAGGCAGAGGCAGAGGCAGGCGGAUCUCUGAUUUUGAGGCCAGCCUGGUCUACAAGAGUUAGUUCCAGGAUAGGCUCCAAAGCUACAACGAAACCCUAUCUCGGGAACCCCCCCCCAAAAAAAAAAAAAGAAGUCUACUCUGAUUUCUCAACUCUGCCCUGAGUUGAGGGAGGUUUCUACCCUCAGACACAGAACCAGACAGGACUGAAUCCAGUUUAAAGUGUGUGAGCUCGUGCAAGCUGCAGAAUGGGGCGCUUACAUCACAGGCCAAAGUGAAGGCCCAGGCAAACAACAAGGAAGAAGCAUGGAGAACUCACACCAAGAACCAAGCUCGUGUGGUGGCUGCAGGCUCAGAGAACCACCCUGCAGUCUGGUAGCUGUGCUAGAGUGGCCAUCUAUGGGACAACUAACUAUAUGCUCACUGUCCUUUUCUUGCUGUCAUCUCCAAUUUUCACCCCUCCUUGGUGAAAAACAUCUGUAAUGUGAACAUCUUUUUUUUUUUCUUUCUUUCUCAAGACGGGGUUUCUCUGUGACUCUGGAGGUUGGUCUCGAACUCAUAGAGAUUCACCUGCCUUUGCCUCCCGAGUGCUGGGAUUAAAGGUGUGCGCCACCAACGCCCUUAAUCCUUACUGUUUACAGUCACCAGUUAAGAUCUUGUUCCCAAUCACCAGCACCCACACAACAAGCUGGUAUCCUGGCAAAUGUCUGUAACCCUGGCUCCAAGGUGGGGGUUGAGGGGUGGAAAUGGGAAGACCCUACAGCUUGCUGGCUUUUAGCCUAAUAGGACACUGGACACCUCCUACCACACACGUGUGUACUACACAGACCAAUUAAAAAGGGGGGUGGAGAACUAGCAAGGCUGACAAGACAGCUCAACAGGUAAAGGUGCUGGCCACCAAGACUGACUAACCUGAGUCUGAUCCCCAGGAUCCACAUGGCAAAAAAGAGAACCCCACUCCAAGUUGUCCUCUGAUAACAUCCACACAGACGCCAUGGCAGCACAUACAAUAAAGUAUAAUACAAAAAACUAAAUAAAAUCCUUUGGAUGGCACCACUUACAAUUCUGCACUAAAACCCCCAAUCCAAACUUUCAAAACCCUGAAGAUAUUCAGCAGACAUUGGAAACUUGAUAGGCAAGACCACUUGCCAAGUCAGCCCAUGCCGGUUACCCAGUUCUAAGAUGGCUUAGGAAGCAGAAGGAUGGCAGCUUUUCACCAGCACACAAUGCCCACCACAGCAAGAUCGUGUCUCAAACAGUAUGAGACCCAGAACAAGGGGCCUGGGCCCUCCAGGUGGGCAACAAUAGACUGUCUCAGGAGGUGUGUGGACCCUGAGACCAAUCAGGGUUCAAGAGGAGGGAUAUGGCAGCAGGGAGAUAAGGUAAACCAAGCUGGCUUGGCCUGCUUCCUCUUGUCCCCUGCUCCCUGACCUACACCCUAGCUGAGAGCCAGACAGGGUUUGUUCAUACUCCCUGUGGAGAGUCCCUGCUGCUCCCUGCUGACAGGUUAUGUACAAGGGUAGUGCUGCUGUACACCUGCACUUGGUCAGCUACACCUGUGGCACAUGCUCAUCACAGAAGUCUAACUAAACAAGAGUAUGGGUGGAUCAUUAUGACAAAACUCCUAAAGAGACAGAAUGCAGAUUGCCACAAGAUACCUGGCACAGCCCUCCCUCCUCAAGGAUGCCAACAUUCAUAGAUGCUCAAGGCCUUUAUAUAAAUUAUUUCCCUAGAACCUACACACGUAAGUCCCUGGAUGACUUACACCAGAUACAAAGCAAAUGCUACAUAAAUGUUAUGCUGUAUUGUCUAGGGAACGAGGAUACAAAACCCUGUACUUGUCAGUGCAGAUGCACACUCCCCUCCUCCUGUACGCAUGCCUGUAUGUAUGCAUACACAAUCUGUCAAUGUUGCCUAGCAAUCCUUGAACUCAAGAUCCUUCUGCUGCAGCCUCCCAAAUGUUAACAUGACAAGCUUGUGCCCAGCCUGGCUCCAGAGCAUUUCCGGUCCUAAGCUAGUUGAGUCUACAGGGACAGAACAUGAAUAUACACUGGUCACUGGGGGGAGGGGCUAGACAUGCAAGGACGAUGUGCUUAUAUGUAAGAAAAGCUUAAAUCACCGGGCAUUUCUCUUUUUAUUUUGCUUUUUGAGAAACUGAUAAAUCCUAAAUAAAAUCAACUGGGAAAAUGGCUCAAUGGUUAUAAGAUCACUUGCUGCUCUUACAGAAGACUUAAGCUCCCAGCAUCCCAAAGAAGGCAAACAGUUAUCCUUAACUCCAGUUACAAAGUUGUCUUCUGGACUCCUUGGGCACCAGACACCCACUGCAUGUGCAAGCAGAACACUCAUACAUGUGAAAUAAAAAUUAAUCUAAAAACCAAAAGUUAACAGUUAGCUUCCAG
This 3637-nucleotide long non-coding RNA is filed under the name Cricetulus griseus (Chinese hamster). RNAcentral's name for it is "lncRNA (ENSCGRG00015031200.1)". The record is from RNAcentral. Lineage: Eukaryota; Metazoa; Chordata; Mammalia; Rodentia; Cricetidae.